GACGAACGCUGGCGGCGUGCUUAACACAUGCAAGUCGAACGGAAAGGCCCUGCUUGCAGGGUACUCGAGUGGCGAACGGGUGAGUAACACGUGGGUGAUCUGCCCUGCACUUCGGGAUAAGCCUGGGAAACUGGGUCUAAUACCGGAUAGGAGCCAUUUUUAGUGUGAUGGUUGGAAAGUUUUUUCGGUGUGGGAGGAGCUCGCGGCCUAUCAGCUUGUUGGUGGGGUAAUGGCCUACCAAGGCGGCGGCGGGUAGCCGGCCUGAGAGGGGGGGGGGCCACGUUGGGACGGGGGCAAGGGCCAGACCCGUCCGCGGGCGGGAAGUGGGGAGGGUGGCGAAAGGGGCGGGGUCCUGAUGCAGCAGCGCUGCGUGGGGGAGGUUGUCCUCCGGGUGGUAAACAGGUUGCACCUGUGAAGAACCGUGAGGGAGGGUAGGGAGUAAAGAAGCCACGGCUAACUAGAUG
RNAcentral lists this ribosomal RNA (464 nucleotides) under uncultured bacterium. RNAcentral's name for it is "partial 16S ribosomal RNA". It matches the Rfam family "Bacterial small subunit ribosomal RNA", at positions 28 to 507 of the family's 1533-position model. The record is from RNAcentral.